CCUACGGGAGGCAGCAGUGGGGAAUAUUGGGCAAUGGGCGCAAGCCUGACCCAGCAACGCCGCGUGAAGGAAGAAGGCUUUCGGGUUGUAAACUUCUUUUGUCAGGGACGAAGCAAGUGACGGUACCUGACGAAUAAGCCACGGCUAACUACGUGCCAGCAGCCGCGGUAAUACGUAGGUGGCAAGCGUUAUCCGGAUUUACUGGGUGUAAAGGGCGUGUAGGCGGGGAAGCAAGUCAGAUGUGAAAACCACGGGCUCAACCUGUGGCCUGCAUUUGAAACUGUUUUUCUUGAGUGCUGGGGAGGCAAUCGGAAUUCCGUGUGUAGCGGUGAAAUGCGUAGAUAUACGGAGGAACACCAGUGGCGAAGGCGGAUUGCUGGACAGUAACUGACGCUGAGGCGCGAAAGCGUGGGGAGCAAACAGGAUUAGAUACCCUUGUAGUC
RNAcentral lists this ribosomal RNA (443 nucleotides) under uncultured bacterium. RNAcentral describes it as "partial 16S ribosomal RNA". It matches the Rfam family "Bacterial small subunit ribosomal RNA", at positions 338 to 795 of the family's 1533-position model. The record is from RNAcentral.